AGCGAACGCUGGCGGCAGGCUUAACACAUGCAAGUCGAACGGUCCUUCGGGAUAGGGGCGGACGGGUGAGUAACACGUGGGAACGUACCCUUAGGUUCGGAACAACACAGGGAGACUUGUGCUAAUACCGGAUAAGCCCUUCGGGGGAAAGAUUUAUCGCCUUUGGAGCGGCCCGCGUCUGAUUAGCUUGUUGGUGAGGUAAUGGCUCACCAAGGCUACGAUCAGUAGCUGGUCUGAGAGGAUGGCCAGCCACACUGGGACUGAGACACGGCCCAGACUCCUACGGGAGGCAGCAGUGGGGAAUCUUGCGCAAUGGGCGAAAGCCUGACGCAGCCAUGCCGCGUGGAUGAUGAAGGUCUUAGGAUUGUGAAAUCCUUUCACCGGGGACGAUAAUGACGGUACCCGGAGAAGAAGCCCCGGCUAACUUCGUGCCAGCCGCCGCCGUAA
This 447-nucleotide ribosomal RNA is filed under the name uncultured bacterium. RNAcentral's name for it is "partial 16S ribosomal RNA". It matches the Rfam family "Bacterial small subunit ribosomal RNA", at positions 29 to 523 of the family's 1533-position model. The record is from RNAcentral.